This is a long non-coding RNA of Ruditapes philippinarum (Manila clam), 316 nucleotides long. RefSeq lists it as uncharacterized. The transcript is spliced from 3 exons. The record is from RefSeq and is a predicted model, not a curated record. Lineage: Eukaryota; Metazoa; Mollusca; Bivalvia; Venerida; Veneridae.
CGAAAUGAAAAAAGGAAAAACACGAUUGGAAAUGGAUAAUAAAUAAAAUUCAGAAUAUUGCAAAACAAGGACAGUGUAAAGCGUGUUUAAAUCUUCCAGAAAUGCAACUGUGCCCUCUUUACAGCAAUUAUAGAUGAAGCAAAGUAUGGUAGCAAGUUAUAAAGAUAUACACACAUGCCGAAGAAGAUUGUAAUAUCUGGAGAAAACAUUUCCUUCGUCAAGAAAUAGACACCGUUACACUGGUCUACGUAACAUUCCUAUUAAAGAUGAUUGAUAUAUUUAAGUGCUUUUAAGAACAGUGUUUGAAUGUCGAAUU